Molecule: ribosomal RNA, 2898 nt
Filed under: Klebsiella pneumoniae subsp. pneumoniae
Lineage: Bacteria; Pseudomonadati; Pseudomonadota; Gammaproteobacteria; Enterobacterales; Enterobacteriaceae
Description: bacterial LSU rRNA
Rfam family: Bacterial large subunit ribosomal RNA
Source: RNAcentral
UUAAGCGACUAAGCGUACACGGUGGAUGCCCUGGCAGUCAGAGGCGAUGAAGGACGUGCUAAUCUGCGAAAAGCGUCGGUAAGGUGAUAUGAACCGUUACAGCCGGCGAUGUCCGAAUGGGGAAACCCAGUGCAAUUCGUUGCACUAUCGUUAACUGAAUACAUAGGUUAACGAGGCGAACCGGGGGAACUGAAACAUCUAAGUACCCCGAGGAAAAGAAAUCAACCGAGAUUCCCCCAGUAGCGGCGAGCGAACGGGGAGCAGCCCAGAGUCUGAAUCAGCUUGUGUGUUAGUGGAACGGUCUGGAAAGUCCGACGGUACAGGGUGAUAGUCCCGUACACCAAAAUGCACAGGCUGUGAACUCGAAGAGUAGGGCGGGACACGUGGUAUCCUGUCUGAAUAUGGGGGGACCAUCCUCCAAGGCUAAAUACUCCUGACUGACCGAUAGUGAACCAGUACCGUGAGGGAAAGGCGAAAAGAACCCCGGCGAGGGGAGUGAAAAAGAACCUGAAACCGUGUACGUACAAGCAGUGGGAGCACCUUCGGGUGUGACUGCGUACCUUUUGUAUAAUGGGUCAGCGACUUAUAUUCUGUAGCAAGGUUAACCGUAUAGGGGAGCCGCAGGGAAACCGAGUCUUAACUGGGCGUUAAGUUGCAGGGUAUAGACCCGAAACCCGGUGAUCUAGCCAUGGGCAGGUUGAAGGUUGGGUAACACUAACUGGAGGACCGAACCGACUAAUGUUGAAAAAUUAGCGGAUGACUUGUGGCUGGGGGUGAAAGGCCAAUCAAACCGGGAGAUAGCUGGUUCUCCCGAAAGCUAUUUAGGUAGCGCCUCGUGAAUUCAUCUUCGGGGGUAGAGCACUGUUUCGGCUAGGGGGUCAUCCCGACUUACCAACCCGAUGCAAACUACGAAUACCGAAGAAUGUUAUCACGGGAGACACACGGCGGGUGCUAACGUCCGUCGUGAAGAGGGAAACAACCCAGACCGCCAGCUAAGGUCCCAAAGUCAUGGUUAAGUGGGAAACGAUGUGGGAAGGCACAGACAGCCAGGAUGUUGGCUUAGAAGCAGCCAUCAUUUAAAGAAAGCGUAAUAGCUCACUGGUCGAGUCGGCCUGCGCGGAAGAUGUAACGGGGCUAAACCAUGCACCGAAGCUGCGGCAGCGACACUAUGUGUUGUUGGGUAGGGGAGCGUUCUGUAAGCCUGCGAAGGUGUGCUGUGAGGCAUGCUGGAGGUAUCAGAAGUGCGAAUGCUGACAUAAGUAACGAUAAAGCGGGUGAAAAGCCCGCUCGCCGGAAGACCAAGGGUUCCUGUCCAACGUUAAUCGGGGCAGGGUGAGUCGACCCUAAGGCGAGGCCGAAAGGCGUAGUCGAUGGGAAACAGGUUAAUAUUCCUGUACUUGGUGUUACUGCGAAGGGGGGACGGAGAAGGCUAUGUUAGCCGGGCGACGGUUGUCCCGGUUUAAGCAUGUAGGCUGGUUGUCCAGGCAAAUCCGGAUAAUCAAGGCUGAGGUGUGAUGACGAGGCACUACGGUGCUGAAGUAACAAAUGCCCUGCUUCCAGGAAAAGCCUCUAAGCAUCAGGUAACAUCAAAUCGUACCCCAAACCGACACAGGUGGUCAGGUAGAGAAUACCAAGGCGCUUGAGAGAACUCGGGUGAAGGAACUAGGCAAAAUGGUGCCGUAACUUCGGGAGAAGGCACGCUGGUGUGUAGGUGAAGCCCCUGCGGGUGGAGCUGAGACCAGUCGAAGAUACCAGCUGGCUGCAACUGUUUAUUAAAAACACAGCACUGUGCAAACACGAAAGUGGACGUAUACGGUGUGACGCCUGCCCGGUGCCGGAAGGUUAAUUGAUGGGGUUAUCCGUAAGGAGAAGCUCUUGAUCGAAGCCCCGGUAAACGGCGGCCGUAACUAUAACGGUCCUAAGGUAGCGAAAUUCCUUGUCGGGUAAGUUCCGACCUGCACGAAUGGCGUAAUGAUGGCCAGGCUGUCUCCACCCGAGACUCAGUGAAAUUGAACUCGCUGUGAAGAUGCAGUGUACCCGCGGCAAGACGGAAAGACCCCGUGAACCUUUACUAUAGCUUGACACUGAACAUUGAGCCUUGAUGUGUAGGAUAGGUGGGAGGCUUUGAAGCGUGGACGCCAGUCUGCGUGGAGCCAACCUUGAAAUACCACCCUUUAAUGUUUGAUGUUCUAACGUUGGCCCCUUACCGGGGUUGCGGACAGUGUCUGGUGGGUAGUUUGACUGGGGCGGUCUCCUCCCAAAGCGUAACGGAGGAGCACGAAGGUUAGCUAAUCCUGGUCGGACAUCAGGAGGUUAGUGCAAUGGCAUAAGCUAGCUUGACUGCGAGCGUGACGGCGCGAGCAGGUGCGAAAGCAGGUCAUAGUGAUCCGGUGGUUCUGAAUGGAAGGGCCAUCGCUCAACGGAUAAAAGGUACUCCGGGGAUAACAGGCUGAUACCGCCCAAGAGUUCAUAUCGACGGCGGUGUUUGGCACCUCGAUGUCGGCUCAUCACAUCCUGGGGCUGAAGUAGGUCCCAAGGGUAUGGCUGUUCGCCAUUUAAAGUGGUACGCGAGCUGGGUUUAGAACGUCGUGAGACAGUUCGGUCCCUAUCUGCCGUGGGCGCUGGAGAAUUGAGGGGGGCUGCUCCUAGUACGAGAGGACCGGAGUGGACGCAUCACUGGUGUUCGGGUUGUCAUGCCAAUGGCACUGCCCGGUAGCUAAAUGCGGAAGAGAUAAGUGCUGAAAGCAUCUAAGCACGAAACUUGCCCCGAGAUGAGUUCUCCCUGAGACUUUAAGUCUCCUGAAGGAACGUUGAAGACGACGACGUUGAUAGGCCGGGUGUGUAAGCGCAGCGAUGCGUUGAGCUAACCGGUACUAAUGAACCGUGAGGCUUAACCUU